CGGAAAAAUGCUCAGCCUGGUGAUUGGAUGUGGAGAGGACCAGGAGCCGGUUGAUGAAGGAAGAAGACGUGUAUGUCAAGCCGUAACCUGACUAAACUUUGGAGUCUAAAAGCUACUUAGUGAAUACACAGCCUGGUCACUGAUCAUGGAUGGAUCCAGGAGCCAGUUUAAGAUGGAAAAAGACACAUAUGUGGAACCAUCACCUGAGUAAAUGUUAAGGUCUGACAGCUACUUACUGAAGUCAUCAUACACAAUAGCCUUCUGCUCUAAAAAAAAAAAAAAAAAAUCUAAUUAAAAAAAAAA
This is a long non-coding RNA of Pelobates fuscus (common spadefoot toad), 303 nucleotides long. RefSeq lists it as uncharacterized. The transcript is spliced from 3 exons. The record is from RefSeq and is a predicted model, not a curated record. NCBI's taxonomy places the organism in Eukaryota, Metazoa, Chordata, Amphibia, Anura, Pelobatidae.